Molecule: long non-coding RNA, 170 nt
Organism: Perognathus longimembris pacificus (Pacific pocket mouse)
Lineage: Eukaryota; Metazoa; Chordata; Mammalia; Rodentia; Heteromyidae
Exons: 3
Source: RefSeq, a predicted model, not a curated record
UCACAGAUGCAUGAGUGAGCAGGCGCUAGACACCCCCCAGUACAUGAUUUGUUGUUUAGGGUCAACAGUGAAGGCUGAAUUGCACUGGCAGCCUUACCUAAAGAGAGUUCAACUCAAUGAAAAGGCAGAUGAAUUCUUCCAGGGACUUUGACUAAGAGAGGUAUUCUUCC